This is a long non-coding RNA of Oncorhynchus tshawytscha (Chinook salmon), 510 nucleotides long. NCBI's taxonomy places the organism in Eukaryota, Metazoa, Chordata, Actinopteri, Salmoniformes, Salmonidae. The record is from Ensembl.
UGUCUCUCCUGGUUGGUUGGGUGGCAGGGAAGGGGUCGGGCCAAUGGGGUAUGACAGUGGAUCAUGUGCAAAUUGAAGAAGGAACAAAAGUGUCUCGUUUGUUUGCCUCUCUGUUCUCGGCAACAGUGGAAGAGUGAUUAGGCUCCUGUGGAUCGGGAAGAAAUUAUUCGGCGUGUCGAACAAAAGAUACGUUUUUCCCUCCAAACCUCUCCCAGAUCAAGAGCUCAGUGCCUCUUUCUCAACAGGAAAAGCUGCUGCCGAGCCUGGGAGGCUUCUGUGCGUCUCCCCGUGCUGGCUGGUCCCCUGGGAGGGAGGCGAGGCGGACUGACUGGCACCCAGUCUGCCAACCAGAUGAUGGAUCCUGCCAGGAAGGAUUGUGAUUUUGAUGGUGACAGGGAAGAGGUGGUGACGUGGGGUCUGGGCCAUGCACUGAACCUAAGGAUGAGGGGGCAUAAUGUGCAGAUGAGAGGAUCUGUGAGGGGCUUCUGGGAGGUGUGUGUGUAGUCUGUG